Molecule: ribosomal RNA, 253 nt
Filed under: uncultured bacterium
Lineage: Bacteria
Description: partial 16S ribosomal RNA
Rfam family: Bacterial small subunit ribosomal RNA
Source: RNAcentral
UACGUAGGGUGCGAGCGUUGUCCGGAAUUAUUGGGCGUAAAGGGCUCGUAGGCGGUUUGUCGCGUCGGGAGUGAAAACCUCGGGCUUAACUCGGGGCUUGCUUUCGAUACGGGCAGACUAGAGGUAUGCAGGGGAGAACGGAAUUCCUGGUGUAGCGGUGAAAUGCGCAGAUAUCAGGAGGAACACCGGUGGCGAAGGCGGCUCUCUGGGCAUGAUCUGACGCUGAGGAGCGAAAGUGUGGGGAGCGAACAGG